GCACUUUUCCCUCCCGCUCCUUUUCUCCCGGCGUCGCUCUGCCCAUUCUCCAUCCUGCGUUCAGUUCAGCCAGCAUGCUGAGAAAUACUUCCUUCUCCAAACAGAGACCUUCAAAGACUUUUCCCCCUCUCACGAUCAACACUCCGUCGUCUAUCCAGGCGUUCAUCCAGCGCAUCUGAUUUGGAUCUUUCCCCCCCCCACCCACCGGGUCUUUGGGCAAUGCCGUCGAUGCCGGUGAGGCUCGAGAGGAACGAGGAGACGGACCACAGGUGAAAGGGAGUUUUUUUACGACGCUGCGGUGUCGGUGAUUUGGACACUUUCCGAAUUAACGCAAUCUUCAGGCAUCAGAGCUGCGCGCUUCCCUUGACUGAAAUAAUAUGACUAAAAAUUGAGGUUCACACACACUUUGGGACGACUGAAAGAGAAGCUUAUCAACUUGUGUUUCUGGACGAAUAGAAGAAAAGGAAGAAGGAAAAAAAAUUGCGUUUAUUUCCUAAAUGGGAGGAUGAUGUGACCUUUUCUUUUGCGCACCGGCAAUCCGACUACACAAACAGCCCCCCGCUGCUUUUCUAUCAGUUGCUCCAUAUUGACCUGUCUUUUGUGGGAUUACACGUGGAGAUAUGAGCAUUGUGAGAGGCCGAGUUGGAUUGUGAGAUUACCGUCCUUUUCCUUUUAUACUCGUCUCUCUCCAAGAGGAAGUACUCCCAAUUUGUUCAAUGGCUUCGGUGUCGAGGUUGACAAGACGCAAAGACGCCAGCCACUGGCCGAGAAUGUCGUCAACUUUCUGGGCUGUGGUGCUUCUGACAGCGCUGCUGGUUCUCUACUGCGGCCAGCUGGCAGCGGGGACUUGUGAGAUUGUGACGCUGGACAGGGACAGCAGCCAACCACGGCGGACCAUCGCCAGGCAGACGGCCCGCUGCGCCUGUAAGAAGGGCCAGAUUGCUGGAACCACAAGAGCCAGACCUGCCUGUGUGGACGCUGGUAUUGUUCGGAAAAAGCAGUGGUGCGAGAUGGUGCCAUGUUUGGAGGACGAAGGCUGUGACCUGCUAGUCAAUAAAUCUGGCUGGACUUGUACACAGCCCGGAGGCCGAGUCAAAACCACCACGGCUCUAUGACGCGACAAGAGUCCCCCUCGACACUCUUGCACUAUGGAGAGCAUUGAUGACCCUUUGACAGACAGCCAAAAAACAUCUGCCAACAACACCCUACCGCCACCACCACCAACAUCACAACAGCUCCAGCAGAACCCUGGUCCAGCAAAGGCAGGAAGCAACACAAGCAGCUACAGAGAAACAAGAGCCUCAUUGCGGGAGCCAGAAAAUCCAUCUGCGCGGCUUUACCAGUAAAUGCGGUCCAGCUUGUUUUGGUCUAAUAACACAACCAGAGACGGCAAAACCAAUAAUUGACUGUUUGAGGGAGCAAGCUUUGCCCUGGACACUGGACAGACUACUAGCUGUAAAACAAAUUUCCAUUUCCUGUGACAAGCCCCUCCGGGUUUCCGACUGCUGCCACCUGCUAUCCGUCAUUGGGUCAAAAUGUUGCGUCCACCUCCUCUCCACUACAUCCGCCUGCUCCGUGAAAUUAGCAGUGCCUGCUCUUAUCGCGGCGGAUUGGACACUUUGAAUCCCAAGAAGAGUUUUUGCCUCAUUGGAAGUGCUAACUGCUAACUGCUUUGAAAAGGGGAUUUCUCCACAACCUUCUCCCGGCCCCCCCAGAGCAAAGGUGGGAUCAUUACCGGACCCCAUUGCUCCUCGGACCACUUCAUGCGGCCGCCAACAAACAAACUGAGCGCUCUCCGCUGUCAAUAGGCCUUCUGCUGGAGUAAACCUCCCAUAUUUUUAUAGACCAAAGAACAAAACAACAGAUACAAACAAUAAAAGUGGACCAUGUGGCACAGAUACACAGAGACUUUGUGAACUUGCUUUUACUGUUGCCACUGAUUAAUGAUCAGCCCCGAGAGAGACACGGUGCACAAAUGGGCAGAUGCAAACAUGUACUGGACACGAUCAAAGGAGUACUUUUAAAACUUUCCAGACAUUUUUUUUUCCUCAGACUUAGCCCACCGCUGUAUUUCGGAAAUGGAGAUAUAGGAACUACAUGCGUAUAACUGUGUAUCAACAACAACAAAAAAAUAAAAACUCUGAUUUGCAUUUUUCAGUAGCUACAGUUGGGACAGCUUACAGUAAGCAUUGUCGAGUUGGUCAUGGAUCCGGAGUGCAAAUCGUAUUAAAGAGAUGAUAAAUAUUUACAGAGCGUAUGAAUGCUAUUCAGUCUGAAUUGAAGGAGUAAAGAAAUGUCAUUAAACGUAUUUUGAAAGGCCCUAAAAAGUUAUAUAUUUAACAGUUUUAUAUGUUGUACCUUUGUAGAGAAGCUUGUUGGACUUAAAAUGUGGUCACAAUGGCAGUUUAGAAGGAUGUGAACAAAUGCUGUUGUUCUCAUUACUGCUAGCUCGUAGUCCCAGGUUUUCUGUUCACACCUCAGUAGCUGCUUUCUUUUCAUGAUCAUCUACAACUCACUGUCUAUCAGAACCAUUGAUGAAAAAAAGGAAAGUGUCAAUGAGGACUGAUCUGCAGCCAAGUGAACAUUGUAAAUCUAUGGUAGUCAGUGGAAGCCAUUGAAAUCUGCUAAUUUGCUAUGAUAUUGUAUUGUACACGGUGUGGAAUACUGACUCAUUUCCUCUCUAUGGCUUUGGAUGUCUUCAUUUAUUUCCGAGCUUGUGUUUUUUCUUUCACAAAUCUGCCAUUUUUUCAAUGGCGAUGAACUUUACAAAGAGACAGGGAAAGCAUUGCAGAAGUAUAACUCAUACGACCAUCUUUUAUCGUGAAAUGUUUCAAGUUAAAAAAUGAAAACAACAUCCCCUGCAAAUUUAGAUGGUCUUAGUUUUCACAGGUCAUCAAAUGGACAUUUCAAAUUAUUUUAAUCUGGUGUUACUUUGAAGAAAAAUGUUUUCUGAAAGUGACAAAAAGGUAAGGAUUCUUUUCUUUCUCAGCGGUUCAGAUGGGUCAAAGGGACAUUAUGUCGAAGAAGUCAAGGCUGCAUCAGUGACUACUUGGUGGUACUAACCAAGUAAGUUAUGACAUCUUUUUGUUAUUCAACCCUGCCUCAUCAUCAUAGAUAAGGUCAACCAUGUGCAUACCAAUGUCUUUGGUAAAGUGAAAUAAAACGCACACCUUCAUAUGAACCA
This is an RNA transcript of Gasterosteus aculeatus aculeatus (three-spined stickleback), 3184 nucleotides long. It is a transcript of the gene named chemokine-like protein TAFA-5, with no coding region annotated. NCBI's taxonomy places the organism in Eukaryota, Metazoa, Chordata, Actinopteri, Perciformes, Gasterosteidae. The record is from RefSeq and is a predicted model, not a curated record.